RNAcentral lists this ribosomal RNA (254 nucleotides) under uncultured bacterium. RNAcentral describes it as "partial 16S ribosomal RNA". It matches the Rfam family "Bacterial small subunit ribosomal RNA", at positions 524 to 776 of the family's 1533-position model. The record is from RNAcentral.
UACGGAGGGUGCAAGCGUUGUUCGGAAUUAUUGGGCGUAAAGCGCGCGCAGGCGGCCUGAAAAGUCCAUGGGUGAAAUGCCGGGGCUCAACCCCGUGCGUGCCCAGGAUACUGUCGGGCUGGAGACACGUAGAGGCAAGCGGAAUUCCGGGUGUAGCGGUGGAAUGCGUAGAGAUCCGGAAGAACACCGGAGGCGAAGGCGGCUUGCUGGGCGUGAUCUGACGCUGAGGCGCGAAAGCGUGGGGAGCGAACAGG